RNAcentral lists this unclassified non-coding RNA (362 nucleotides) under uncultured bacterium. RNAcentral's name for it is "contains 16S-23S intergenic spacer region". The record is from RNAcentral.
UCCCCGUUACCGGGGCAGUCUAGCUAGAGAAAUUCAACUAACUAUAAGGGUUGCGCUCGUUAAUGGACUUAACCAAACAUCUCACGACACGAGCUGACGACGGCCAUGCAACACCUGUCACUGCGGCCCGAAGGCACGUCUGCCUUUCGGCAAACUUGGCAGGAUGUCAAACCCUGGUAAGGUUCUUCGCUUAUCGUCGAAUUAAACAACACGCUCCACCGCUUGUGCGGGUCCCCGUCAAUUCCUUUAUGUUUUAAGCUUGCGCUCGUACUCCACAGGCGGGAUGCUUAACGCGUUAGCUUCGCUACUACAAGGGUCGAUACUCGUAACAGCUAGCAUCCAUCGUUUACGGCGUGGACUAC